GCCAUGUGAAGGUCCAAUUGAUUGAGCAAAUUGAUAUUGCAAUAAAUGUAAAUGUCGUUACAUUGCAGAAACAUUUCAAACCAUUCGGCAUAUAAAUUGGACAGGCAUAAAAAGACUCAAACGAAUAUCAAAACCUGUCCAUGAGGUGGUCCAAAUUUUCAAAAAGUCCCUGUGGUUUCAGAUCCUUAUCAGUGAAUUACCAAUGAAACCAUGAACUCCUGGUACCUGAUACAACUUCAGGGAUUUAUUGCAAAAGAC
This 258-nucleotide unclassified non-coding RNA is filed under the name Hevea brasiliensis (rubber tree). Lineage: Eukaryota; Viridiplantae; Streptophyta; Magnoliopsida; Malpighiales; Euphorbiaceae. The record is from RNAcentral.